Molecule: unclassified non-coding RNA, 1088 nt
Filed under: Zea mays
Lineage: Eukaryota; Viridiplantae; Streptophyta; Magnoliopsida; Poales; Poaceae
Description: misc RNA Zm00001eb063240
Source: RNAcentral
GGCUGCUCCGCCACCAGGCCUUGAGCGGCUCACUCGGCUGGCCUCCUUUUUUUUUAAUUUCAUUUCUCAUAUUUUCAAUAAAGAAAAUAAAGGGAAAAUCCCUUCAAAUGAACAGCAGAGAAAGGGAGGAGAAUCGAUCGAUCAUCGACCACGCUCAUGCCCACGCCCGCUUCUUCGGGAUAAGAUCGAGCGUCUUGACUUUAUCUAUCCUGGCGGCGACGAUGUAGUCGUUGACGGUGAGGCUGUCGCCGGCGGCGGAGGGCGUGGAGAGCUCGGCCGUCACCUGGUUGGGGGCCUCGAACGCCAGGGUCGCCGGGGCGUGUCCGGCGCCGUGGAGCGCGGCGUUGAUCCUGGCGAUGAGCUCCUGGCCGCAGGUCUCGUCGCGCACCUUCCAGACGCACUGCAGCCGCGCGGGACGCUGCUCGUCGCCGUCGCCGUCGGAGAGGACGAGCCUCCACCCGACGACCUUGAAGAGGAGCCUGCGCGCGUCGUCGAGGGAGAGCGGCUCCGCGUCGGGCUGCAGCGGGAGGCUCGCGAGGGAGAGCGCGGAGAGGGUGGGGAUGAGGAUCUGGUGGAGCGUGUCCACGUUGCCCAGCACCUUCUCCCCAAACUGGCUCUCGAUCUCCUCCGGGAAGGGGUCGCGCGCGCCCAAGUCGCCCAGCAGGUCGGCCAUCGCCACCACGCAGCCACGCGCCCUGCCCCGGCGGCUCCCAACUGCGACGCCCGGCCGGAUGAAGCUUGCGCUGCUGCAGCGGCAUGUGGAGGCCGCGGGUGCAGCUGCUGGCGGGGCGAGGGAGAGCCUGAGCGCCAUUGGAUUGGGUGGAAACGGAGCCCAAUGGAUGGCUCAGGAUGCACACUGGCAGUAGCUGGGAAUGGAUUAGUGCCCGGGGCAGCGGGGCUGCCUUUAUAUCGUUAAACCUCUUUUUUUCCAGCUUCUAGUCCCUUCUGCAACCUCAACGCCACUCAUUCUCGUCAUCUUCUUCCUGCUCCGUGGAGCCCUCAUCCUCAUGUGGACAUCAAUUGAACAGAUUAAUUUGCUUAUGAACAGAUAGUUCAAUUCUGAAUACAGUCACUUGCAGAUCACAGCA